This 72-nucleotide transfer RNA is filed under the name Pristionchus pacificus. It matches the Rfam family "tRNA". Rfam says of the family: Transfer RNA (tRNA) molecules are approximately 80 nucleotides in length. Their secondary structure includes four short double-helical elements and three loops (D, anti-codon, and T loops). Further hydrogen bonds mediate the characteristic L-shaped molecular structure. tRNAs have two regions of fundamental functional importance: the anti-codon, which is responsible for specific mRNA codon recognition, and the 3' end, to which the tRNAs corresponding amino acid is attached (by aminoacyl-tRNA synthetases). tRNAs cope with the degeneracy of the genetic code in two manners: having more than one tRNA (with a specific anti-codon) for a particular amino acid; and 'wobble' base-pairing, i.e. permitting non-standard base-pairing at the 3rd anti-codon position. The record is from Rfam by way of RNAcentral. Lineage: Eukaryota; Metazoa; Nematoda; Chromadorea; Rhabditida; Neodiplogasteridae.
GGGGGUAUAGCUCAGUGGUAGAGCACCCGCAUACGUAUCGGAAGGUCGGGGGAUCGACUCCCUCUGCCUCCA